UACGGGGGGGGCAAGCGUUGUCCGGAUUUACUGGGCGUAAAGAGCGCGCAGGCGGUCGUACAAGUCGCGUGUGAAAGCCCCCGGCUCAACUGGGGAGGGUCACGCGAUACUGUUCGACUCGAAGGCAGGAGAGGGUAGUGGAAUUCCCGGUGUAGUGGUGAAAUGCGUAGAUAUCGGGAGGAACACCAGUGGCGAAGGCGACUACCUGGCCUGUUCUUGACGCUGAGGCGCGAAAGCUAGGGUAGCAAACGGG
RNAcentral lists this ribosomal RNA (253 nucleotides) under uncultured bacterium. RNAcentral describes it as "partial 16S ribosomal RNA". It matches the Rfam family "Bacterial small subunit ribosomal RNA", at positions 524 to 776 of the family's 1533-position model. The record is from RNAcentral.